UGGGGAAUUUUGGACAAUGGGCGCAAGCCUGAUCCAGCCAUGCCGCGUGAGUGAAGAAGGCCUUCGGGUUGUAAAGCUCUUUCGGCCGGGAAGAAAUCGCACAGGCUAAUACCUUGUGUGGAUGACGGUACCGGAAUAAGAAGCACCGGCUAACUACGUGCCAGCAGCCGCGGUAAUACGUAGGGUGCGAGCGUUAAUCGGAAUUACUGGGCGUAAAGCGUGCGCAGGCGGUUGUGUAAGACAGGCGUGAAAUCCCCGGGCCCAACCUGGGAACUGCGCUUGUGACUGCACGGCUAGAGUACGGCAGAGGGGGGUGGAAUUCCACGUGUAGCAGUGAAAUGCGUAGAGAUGUGGAGGAACACCGAUGGCGAAGGCAGCCCCCUGGGCCGAUACUGACGCUCAUGCACGAAAGCGUGGGUAGCAAACAG
Molecule: ribosomal RNA, 428 nt
Filed under: uncultured bacterium
Lineage: Bacteria
Description: bacterial SSU rRNA
Rfam family: Bacterial small subunit ribosomal RNA
Source: RNAcentral